This 81-nucleotide ribosomal RNA is filed under the name Methylobacter sp. RNAcentral describes it as "partial 16S ribosomal RNA". It matches the Rfam family "Bacterial small subunit ribosomal RNA", at positions 1 to 81 of the family's 1533-position model. Lineage: Bacteria; Pseudomonadati; Pseudomonadota; Gammaproteobacteria; Methylococcales; Methylococcaceae. The record is from RNAcentral.
AAACUGAAGAGUUUGAUCAUGGCUCAGAUUGAACGCUGGCGGUAUGCUUAACACAUGCAAGUCGAACGGUAACAGGCCUUC